RNAcentral lists this long non-coding RNA (1164 nucleotides) under Salmo salar (Atlantic salmon). Its description in RNAcentral is "lncRNA (ENSSSAG00000114909.1)". The record is from RNAcentral. Lineage: Eukaryota; Metazoa; Chordata; Actinopteri; Salmoniformes; Salmonidae.
ACAGACUGUAAAAGUAUCCGUUGGGGUAAAUCAUGCUGUGUUUAUUGUACGGAGAGAGAAACUCUUCAGAAAUAACACCAAUACAAGAUAUCAGGUGUUUAAAUAUGGACAUAUUGGUCCCAUAGCAUUCACCAGCAACAUGAACAUGUUCAGGACAAUCAGGAAGGUAGAGGACAUGAGCAUGUUCAGGACAAUCAGGAAAAUAAAGGACAUGAGCAUGUUCAGGACAAUCAGGAAGAUAAAGGACAUGAGCAUGUUCAGGACAAUCAGGAAGGUAGAGGACAUGAACAUGUUCAGGACAAUCAGGAAGGUAGAGGACAUGUUCAGGACAAUCAGGAAGGUAGAGGACAUGAGCAUGUUCAGGACAAUCAGGAAGAUAGGACAUGUUCAGGACAAUCAGGAAGGUAGAGGACAUGAGCAUGUUCAGGACAAUCAGGAAGGUAGAGGACAUGUUCAGGACAAUCAGGAAGGUAGAGGACAUGUUCAGGACAAUCAGGAAGGUAGAGGAGAUGUUCAGGACAAUCAGGAAGGUAGAGGAGAUGUUCAGGACAAUCAGGAAGGGAGAGGACAUGUUCAGGACAAUCAGGAAGGUAGAGGACAUGAACAUGUUCAGGACAAUCAGGAAGGUUGAGGACAUGUUCAGGACAAUCAGGAAGGGAGAGGACAUGUUCAGGACAAUCAGGAAGGUAGAGGACAUGAACAUGUUCAGGACAAUCAGGAAGGGAGAGGACAUGUUCAGGACAAUCAGGAAGGUAGAGGAGAUGUUCAGGACAAUCAGGAAGGUAGAGGACAUGAACAUGUUCAGGACAAUCAGGAAGGUAGAGGACAUGUUCAGGACAAUCAGGAAGGGAGAGGACAUGUUCAGGACAAUCAGGAAGGGAGAGGACAUGUUCAGGACAAUCAGGAAGGUAGAGGCUAGAAACAUUUCAAUCAAACAGCCCAGAAACACAAUAUUACACAUUCAGUGUGAAAGUUAGACAUUGUAUAACAUGUAGAACAUUAAAUAAUAAAUAUAGUGUCAAAGCUUUUUACCCUCUAAACUGGACUUGAUGGGAAUGAAGACAGGAGAUAUGAGGGGGGUGAUACUGAUGGGAGAUAUGGGGGGGGUGAUACUGAUGGGAGAUAUGGGGGGGGGUGAUACUGAUGGGAGAUAUGAGGGGGGGG